GACGAACGCUGGCGGCGUGCUUAACACAUGCAAGUCGAGCGGUAAGGCCCUUUCGGGGGUACACGAGCGGCGAACGGGUGAGUAACACGUGGGUGACCUGCCCUCAGCUCUGGGAUAAGCCUGGGAAACCGGGUCUAAUACUGGAUAUGACUCCAUGACGCAUGUUGUGGGGUGGAAAGCCUUGUGCGGCUGAGGAUGGGCCCGCGGCCUAUCAGCUUGUUGGUGGGGUGANGGCCUACCAAGGCGACGACGGGUAGCCGGCCUGAGAGGGCGACCGGCCACACUGGGACUGAGACACGGCCCAGACUCCUGCGGGAGGGCAGCAGUGGGGAAUCUUGCGCAAUGGGCGAAAGCCUGACGCAGCGACGCCGCGUGAGGGAUGACGGCCU
RNAcentral lists this ribosomal RNA (389 nucleotides) under uncultured bacterium. Its description in RNAcentral is "bacterial SSU rRNA". It matches the Rfam family "Bacterial small subunit ribosomal RNA", at positions 28 to 417 of the family's 1533-position model. The record is from RNAcentral.